This 493-nucleotide ribosomal RNA is filed under the name uncultured bacterium. RNAcentral describes it as "bacterial SSU rRNA". It matches the Rfam family "Bacterial small subunit ribosomal RNA", at positions 28 to 521 of the family's 1533-position model. The record is from RNAcentral.
GAUGAACGCUGGCGGCGUGCUUAAUACAUGCAAGUCGAACGAAGCACCUUGGACAGAAUCCUUCGGGAGGAAGACCAUUGUGACUGAGUGGCGGACGGGUGAGUAACGCGUGGGUAACCUGCCUUGUACAGGGGGAUAACAGUUGGAAACGACUGCUAAUACCGCAUAAGCGCACAGUACCGCAUGGUACGGUGUGAAAAACUCCGGUGGUACAAGAUGGACCCGCGUCUGAUUAGCUUGUUGGUGAGGUAACGGCCCACCAAGGCGACGAUCAGUAGCCGACUUGAGAGAGUGAUCGGCCACAUUGGGACUGAGACACGGCCCAAACUCCUACGGGAGGCAGCAGUAGGGAAUAUUGCACAAUGGGGGAAACCCUGAUGCAGCGACGCCGCGUGAAGGAAGAAGUAUUUCGGUAUGUAAACUCUAUCAGCAAGGAGAAAAUGACGGUACUUGACUAAGAAGCCCCGGCUAAAUACGUGCCAGCAGCCGCGGU